UCGUGCCCGCAGCCAUGGGGACGAGAUUGGCGCGCUCGCAAAAGAGGCCUCUGUUGCGGGGAGCCUCACCAGCGAGCAGGCGGACCCCAGGAGCAGAUCUGAGACAGACCUUGGCGCGUCUACAGCAGCGAGUCUUGGCCCUGUGAAGGGCGCACUCGAUCCGAAUGACCCCCGCUUCAUCGAAAGAGAGGUGCAUAAUCCCACAGCAAAUCAAACUCUUCCAGCUGUUCUGCAUUGUCAAAGGCCACUUGUUGAAGCGCCCUGAUUUCACAUGACAGAGUCUAGCUGUGCCAUUGUCUGGCAUUUGUGAGGGAGUGUUCUCAAUGCUGACUCAUUGGCUAAGCUAAUUCUACGCCAAGAACACUUUUCUCAGGAGUGCCAGAUGACAAAAGCCCCCUGUGAAGAAGUGUCUGAGCAGCAUCGCUGGGGUUGUGAUGCCCCAAGCCAAUAUAGCCAACCGAGUUUAAAUUCUGUUAUGGGCGGCAGGUUGAGACAGGGUCAGAGUCGAGCACGCCCAGGACGCCGGAGCUCAAAGCACGCGGCGGAGGGUUUGCGCCAUUUGAUGGGGCGCGCGACGGGGGCGGCCACAGCGGCACCGUGGAUUGGCUGUCCGACUGGCGCCUCAGGACCGCGCUGUCCUCGA
RNAcentral lists this long non-coding RNA (643 nucleotides) under Coccomyxa subellipsoidea. RNAcentral's name for it is "long non-coding RNA (CSUB_LNC000507)". Lineage: Eukaryota; Viridiplantae; Chlorophyta; Trebouxiophyceae; Coccomyxaceae. The record is from RNAcentral.